UACGUGGGGGGCAAGCGUUGUCCGGAAUUAUUGGGCGUAAAGAGCGUGUAGGCGGUCCGGUAAGUCGGCUGUGAAAGUCCAGGGCUCAACCCUGGGAUGCCGGUCGAUACUGCCGGACUAGAGUUCGGAAGAGGCGAGUGGAAUUCCCGGUGUAGCGGUGAAAUGCGCAGAUAUCGGGAGGAACACCUAUGGCGAAGGCAGCUCGCUGGGACGUUACUGACGCUGAGACGCGAAAGCGUGGGGAGCAAACAGG
This 253-nucleotide ribosomal RNA is filed under the name uncultured bacterium. RNAcentral's name for it is "partial 16S ribosomal RNA". It matches the Rfam family "Bacterial small subunit ribosomal RNA", at positions 524 to 776 of the family's 1533-position model. The record is from RNAcentral.